AGGCGGCCCGCGGGCGGCUGUGGGCGGGAGUUCGGCCCUCCGGGUCCGCCCGCGCCCUGAAGCCUGCGGCCAGGGGACCCGCUGCCAAGGAGGGGGCGGCGGCGGGGCCGGGAACGCGCGGCCCGGCCUGGCUGAGGAACCAGCAGGCCCCCACAGGCCCUCGUACAGUGCCUCCAGGGACUUAAACCUGCCGCAGCCAUGUGGUUACCCUGAUCUAUCUGCUGGGAGAGGAGCAAAGCUCAGAGAGGGACCAGAUCUCAGCAGAGACGAAACCAGCAGCAGUUCCUGAACACCCACCCUGCCGUGGUUCCAGAAGUGCAACAUGGACCAACCUGUGAGCAUUUGCUCUUCCUCAGGGGCACUUUCCCUUUUCAAAGAAGAGUUCAGCAGUGCUUCCACCCAGAAGACUAACUUCUGAGAAAUAAAACAGCUGGGAGACAGAAGGAAGUAGCUGACCUGUCAAAUCUACCAACAGAACAAAAGAACCAAACCAAAACAGUUCAAAACAAUAUGGUCAGGGGCUUCCCUGGUGGCGCAGUGGUUGAGAGUCCGCCUGCCGAUGCAGGGGACGCGGGUUCGUGCCCCGGUCCGGGAGGAUCCCACGUGCCGCGGAGCGGCUGGGCCCGUGAGCCAUGGCCGCUGAGCCUGCGCGUCCGGAGCCUGUGCUCCGCAACGGGAGAGGCCACAACAGUGAGAG
Molecule: long non-coding RNA, 697 nt
Organism: Globicephala melas (long-finned pilot whale)
Lineage: Eukaryota; Metazoa; Chordata; Mammalia; Artiodactyla; Delphinidae
Source: RefSeq, a predicted model, not a curated record